Molecule: ribosomal RNA, 997 nt
Filed under: human gut metagenome
Description: bacterial LSU rRNA
Rfam family: Bacterial large subunit ribosomal RNA
Source: RNAcentral
CCGUAACUAUAACGGUCCUAAGGUAGCGAAAUUCCUUGUCGGGUAAGUUCCGACCUGCACGAAUGGCGUAAUGAUGGCCAGGCUGUCUCCACCCGAGACUCAGUGAAAUUGAACUCGCUGUGAAGAUGCAGUGUACCCGCGGCAAGACGGAAAGACCCCGUGAACCUUUACUAUAGCUUGACACUGAACAUUGAGCCUUGAUGUGUAGGAUAGGUGGGAGGCUUUGAAGCGUGGACGCCAGUCUGCGUGGAGCCAACCUUGAAAUACCACCCUUUAAUGUUUGAUGUUCUAACGUUGGCCCGUAAUCCGGGUUGCGGACAGUGUCUGGUGGGUAGUUUGACUGGGGCGGUCUCCUCCCAAAGAGUAACGGAGGAGCACGAAGGUUAGCUAAUCCUGGUCGGACAUCAGGAGGUUAGUGCAAUGGCAUAAGCUAGCUUGACUGCGAGCGUGACGGCGCGAGCAGGUGCGAAAGCAGGUCAUAGUGAUCCGGUGGUUCUGAAUGGAAGGGCCAUCGCUCAACGGAUAAAAGGUACUCCGGGGAUAACAGGCUGAUACCGCCCAAGAGUUCAUAUCGACGGCGGUGUUUGGCACCUCGAUGUCGGCUCAUCACAUCCUGGGGCUGAAGUAGGUCCCAAGGGUAUGGCUGUUCGCCAUUUAAAGUGGUACGCGAGCUGGGUUUAGAACGUCGUGAGACAGUUCGGUCCCUAUCUGCCGUGGGCGCUGGAGAAUUGAGGGGGGCUGCUCCUAGUACGAGAGGACCGGAGUGGACGCAUCACUGGUGUUCGGGUUGUCAUGCCAAUGGCACUGCCCGGUAGCUAAAUGCGGAAGAGAUAAGUGCUGAAAGCAUCUAAGCACGAAACUUGCCCCGAGAUGAGUUCUCCCUGAGACUUUAAGUCUCCUGAAGGAACGUUGAAGACGACGACGUUGAUAGGUCGGGUGUGUAAGCGCAGCGAUGCGUUGAGCUAACCGAUACUAAUGAACCGUGAGGCUUAACCUU